GACCUCGAAUCAGGUAGGAGUACCCGCUGAACUUAAGCAUAUCAUA
This 46-nucleotide ribosomal RNA is filed under the name Cordyceps sp. RNAcentral's name for it is "partial 28S ribosomal RNA". The record is from RNAcentral. Lineage: Eukaryota; Fungi; Ascomycota; Sordariomycetes; Hypocreales; Cordycipitaceae.